ACUUUAUGUUUACUGUGUGUCUCAACAGAUUCUGGUUCCACAUCUGUCUUAAUACCCCUGCUGCUAAAUCACCCAAAGCGUGGAAAAAAAUAGGAGUUGUGCAGAUCAUACAGAGGGAAUAAAUCACACCUACUCCAGGUCUAGAAGAGAACAUCGGUCAGAGCUGCCCUGGAUACAUAACCCAGAUGAAACUAUGCAUACACACAAAAACACAGAACUAAAAGAAGACUGUCGUGAUCGGAUGUGGCAUUAAUCACAUGAAUCAUUUGUGCUGAUUUGGAGAAGGCGAGAGGACAAGCCAUCGUCUUCACUGCAUCACCGUGUCGCUGUGCCGAGUACAAAUGGAGCAUUUCAUUAAACGUGUCAGUGCACCACGGCGUCAGUGCACCGUAGGGGGCAUGUUCUCCACCUUACAUCGAUCAGCUUAGACCAUCGUGCGUCGUGAGCAAGAGAAGAAGAGUUGUCAGGUAUGGAACUAAUGUGAUUUUCCUACCUGCUGAGUGUCAAGUGAGGAUCGUCUCAGCCAUGCUGUGGCUUGUCUCUUCUGCAUGAGUACAAAGAUUGUUAAAUAUUGCUAUUAAAAUGCCUCCAGGAUUCGUGUUUGAAAAGAUAUUACUGCAGAGAUCUGAAGCAUUUUAAUCUUUUUGACCUUACUCAGAUAGGGGUAAGUAUAGGUGUUUGAGUGUCUUGGAACAGUGCAGGUGGUAUUUAGUGUAAAUAUAGGCUAAUUAUUACAGUGAUUUUUAAUAAAAGCUACCGAAUACAAAUGUGAUUGAACAGACAUUAUCACACUUACUAUGAGAAGGAAGCCAAGUACUAAUGAAAACUAAGAAAAGGGAUCAUUUGUUUGUAUAAUUAGUAACAGCUUUGUAGAGAAAAUAAAGUGAAAAAGAAAGCGAGGAUCACUAAAUCGUGUUAAACUUACGAUCAAGACUCAACGCAGUGCAACUACAAAAAAUCUGUUUGUUGAACUUAUUUUUGGAUUUUAAACAUCAGUAUGUAACAUGUAUCAUUUGUUGUUUCGUGAUGUUGUUUCAUAAGGACUCGGUCACACUAGAGUUAAGACAGGACUGCAACCUCCUGGUGAGCAGGAAUAAUCAGUGGGUGCUUGGUGAUUGCAUUUCAUUUUUUUGCACAGUAGUUGCAACGACUACUUUAAAUUACCAUGCGGGAGGCAACCUCUGUCCAGAUGUUCGUGGUUGUCAUGAUCCGAGUGAGUGCCCGGUGGUUUGUUCCUGGUUCCACACUUGCAUCCUUCCACCUGUCAUAAAUCAGUGGCUUUGAGUGGGAUGGUUCUUAAGACCAGCUCAACCUGCCAUUCUUAACCAGUUUAUCAGCUACCUCAUGGUGGUAACUAGGCCUCCAUGACUCUCGUUAUCCAGGUUUUGCCCUGCACUCGUGUCUCUUUAUGCCUCUACAGUAGUUCCUUCAAGACUCUGAUCCACUUACCUGCAACUCAAUCCUCUGGAUGCUGGACACUAAACCCUCCGAGUAAGCCUGCAAACUCACUAUGUUGAACCUCAGCUACUCACCGCUCUCAUCUGCCUGCCCUCCUGCUUGCCGCACCACCACUGGACCUCUGGAAACGAAAGGUUGGAAGAGCAAUCUCACUUACCUCACCAUUCAGCCGGACUCUUACUAGGUCAUACUCUCCCCGGAGCAAACUCUCACUCACCUGCAAGUAGGCCUUCAUCAUUCCAACUCAUACUCGCCUUCAGUCAUCCUCACCCAUUUAUUGAAAUUAAUCAUUCUGUCCCUCUGUUCCAGCUGCUUCCUCGUCAGGGACUCUCGUUCCCACACCUAUGGUUCAUGUCACUAAUUUGAAUAAAGCUUUAU
Long non-coding RNA from Oreochromis niloticus (Nile tilapia), 1836 nucleotides. RefSeq lists it as uncharacterized. The record is from RefSeq and is a predicted model, not a curated record. The transcript has 3 exons. NCBI's taxonomy places the organism in Eukaryota, Metazoa, Chordata, Actinopteri, Cichliformes, Cichlidae.